Non-coding RNA from Heterocephalus glaber (naked mole-rat), 1269 nucleotides. NCBI's taxonomy places the organism in Eukaryota, Metazoa, Chordata, Mammalia, Rodentia, Bathyergidae. The record is from RefSeq and is a predicted model, not a curated record.
GUUAAGGUCUCUGUUGCUUUGCUACUGUCAGCCCACCAUGAACUGUUGCCCCUCUUUCAACCUGCUUUUGCCAGCCAAUUAUCAACUGAAACCUCUACAAACUGUUUAUAAAAACAUGAGGACCCACUCUGGAAUUGAAAAAUGAGGGCUCAUGAUAAAGAUGGUUAGUCUUCCUAAAUAUAAUACAGAGAGAAUUAUUAUCUGCAGAGCAAUGAAUGCCUUUGGAAUCAAAGCUCCUGUUAGCAAAAUUAAAUUUGGCAUGCUGUGUUGGAGAAAAGCUCCAUUCUCUCCAGUCUUAUGUCAAAGUCAGAGUAACUUAGGAAAAUAUCUUUGUAUGAUCUCUGCUAUAGGAUUCUUCCAGAUGGACCAUAUUUUGGACUCACAAUCCCAGUGUUGGGAUCAGUCACCAAGAUUUGAAAGUGCUGGAAUUAGGGCAUGUGUAAAUUCUAAUCAUUGGGAGGAUACCCAUUCAGCAGAUGGAAAAGAAAUCCAAUUGCUAGUGUGUUGCUACAAGGGCCCAGCCUAUAACACCUGGAAGAAGAUGAGGAAUAUGGACUAGGAAAUGGAGUUUUCAAAAACUACAGUAUAAGACACAUUGUCUUUAAUCCUCUUCAAAAUACUUUCUCUUUGCUCCAAACACACUUGUCUCAUCAUCUUUCUGAAGUGGUUCUAAAAGUCCUCUUUCAUGACUGUCUUUAAGAAGUGUGAUGAAAAGUAUAGUGAAUACUGCUAUGGAGUGUCGUCUAAUGGAGAGGCAUAUUAUAUUGUGUCCUCAUCUACCUUAUUCACCUAAUCUUGCACCGUAUGACUUCUGGCUCUUUCCCAAAGUCAAAAUGACCAUGAAAUAUUUUGAAGUGAUUCAAGGCAACCUCAAUAGCACAAUGAAAGACUCUCAUGAAAGAAGACGUCCAGAACUGCAUCAGAAAGUGGCAAGAAUGAUAAGAAAUACUCAGUACCACAAGCUGAGAGAGAGAGAAACAAAUGCAGACUGCAGAGAAACCACUGAAAUCACCAGAUUGGAUGAAGAAAACUCUUGCCUCCAUCUCCCUCAUUCCAUUAGAACAGUUUUACCAAUAAUAUCAUUAUUACUAUCACUAAUUGUUAUGGUUUAUGUUUAGAUGUCCCCCCAAAGCCUCAUGUUGAUGAGGUGGGGCUAUCUUUUUCAGAGGUAGUUGAAUUUGGAACGUGUGAGACUGGGGUUAAGGGCCUGUGAUUACUAAACCACUAUGUGUGAGUGAUUAGUUUGACACUGCCCUAAUCCCAGUAGUC